Molecule: long non-coding RNA, 562 nt
Organism: Prionailurus viverrinus (fishing cat)
Lineage: Eukaryota; Metazoa; Chordata; Mammalia; Carnivora; Felidae
Exons: 3
Source: RefSeq, a predicted model, not a curated record
GCGAGGCACGAAGGGCCGCUCAGGGCGCAGGCCCAGAUCCCUGAGAGGUCGGCAAGGGUGGAUCCCUUCCUCAGGUGCCGGUUUUAUUCCCAACGUCGGGCCUCGGUUUUGUUUCCUCCUUUCGCGUCUUUCCCGGACCCGCGCCCUGUGGAGAGAUUCUCUUCCCCCUUUACCCCCUGUCCGGGCCGCAUCUGGCAGGAGGCUUCUCGGAAGCUGACACAUCAUCCCUAGGUACAAAGAAAUCAUAUUUCAGGAAGAUCAAUUCAAAUAUUUGUUUGGCAUUUAAAGGAAUUUUAAGAAAGACACUGUAUUUGCUCAGGCUCUCAAUUUUUCUGGCCUGAAUUUCCACCAAAAGCCCUUCAACUCUUCCCUCAACCUCCAAUCCUACCCGCUCCAGUCUACCUCCUCCACCCUACAGCUAGAGUGAGCUUUCAUUUUAUGGAUCUAAUCCCAGUCACUUCUCCGAUGAAAAACUGCAAUGGAGCUCAUUAUAGACAAGGUGAAAAUUUUUUGGCAUGCCAUUAAGCACCUUUUAAGAGUGGGUGUCUCUCUACUCUCCAUC